This 252-nucleotide ribosomal RNA is filed under the name uncultured bacterium. RNAcentral describes it as "partial 16S ribosomal RNA". It matches the Rfam family "Bacterial small subunit ribosomal RNA", at positions 524 to 776 of the family's 1533-position model. The record is from RNAcentral.
UACAGAGGGGGCAAGCGUUGUUCGGAAUUACUGGGCGUAAAGGGCGCGUAGGCGGCCUGUUAAGUCGAACGUGAAAUCCCCGGGCUCAACCCGGGAACUGCGUCCGAUACUGGCAGGCUUGAAUUCGGGAGAGGGAUGUGGAAUUCCAGGUGUAGCGGUGAAAUGCGUAGAUAUCUGGAGGAACACCGGUGGCGAAGGCGGCAUCCUGGACCGAUAUUGACGCUGAUGCGCGAAAGCCAGGGAGCAAACGGG